GAUGAACGCUGGCGGCGUGCCUAAUACAUGCAAGUCGAGCGAACAGACGAGGAGCUUACUCCUCUGACGUUAGCGGCGGACGGGUGAGUAACACGUGGAUAACCUCCCUAUAAGACUGGGAUAACUUCGGGAAACCGGAGCUAAUACCGGAUAACAUGCUGAACCGCAUGGUUCAACAGUGAAAGACGGUCUUGCUGUCACUUAUAGAUGGAUCUGCGUCGCAUUAGCUAGUUGGUAAGGUAACGGCUUAUUAAGGCGACGAUGCGUAGCCGACCGGAGAGGGUGAUCGGCCACACUGGAACUGGGACGCCGUCCAGACUCCUACGGGAGGCAGCAGAAGGGAAUCUUCCGCAAUGGUCGAAAGCAUGACGGAGCAACGCCAAGUGAGUGAAGAAGGUCUUCGGAUCGUAAAACUCUGUUAUUGGGGAAGAACAACUGUGUAAGUAACUAUGCACGUCUUGACGGUAACUAAUCAGAAAGCCACGGCUAACUACGUG
This 497-nucleotide ribosomal RNA is filed under the name uncultured bacterium. RNAcentral's name for it is "partial 16S ribosomal RNA". It matches the Rfam family "Bacterial small subunit ribosomal RNA", at positions 28 to 507 of the family's 1533-position model. The record is from RNAcentral.